This 1052-nucleotide ribosomal RNA is filed under the name uncultured archaeon. RNAcentral describes it as "bacterial SSU rRNA". It matches the Rfam family "Archaeal small subunit ribosomal RNA", at positions 1 to 1054 of the family's 1478-position model. The record is from RNAcentral.
UCCGGUUGAUCCUGGCGGAGGUCACUGCUAUCGGUGUUCGUCUAAGCCAUGCGAGUCAUAUGUUCUUCGUGAACAUGGCGUACUGCUCAGUAACACGUGGAUAACCUGCCCUUGGGUCUGGCAUAACCCCGGGAAACUGGGGAUAAUACCGGAUAACGCAUAUAUGCUGGAAUUCUUUAUGCGUGAAAUGGAUUCGUCUGCCCAAGGAUGGGUCUGCGGCCUAUCAGGUAGUAGUGGGUGUAAUGUACCUACUAGCCGACGACGGGUACGGGUUGUGAGAGCAAGAGCCCGGAGAUGGAUUCUGAGACAUGAAUCCAGGCCCUACGGGGCGCAGCAGGCGCGAAAACUUUACAAUGCGGGAAACCGUGAUAAGGGGACACCGAGUGCCAGCAUCAUAUGCCGGCUGUCCGGGUGUGUAAAAUACACCUGUUAGCAAGGGCCGGGCAAGACCGGUGCCAGCCGCCGCGGUAACACCGGCGGCCCGAGUGGUGAUCGUGAUUAUUGGGUCUAAAGGGUCCGUAGCCGGCUUGGUCAGUCCUCCGGGAAAUCUGACGGCUUAACCGUUAGGCUUUCGGGGGAUACUGCCAGACUUGGAACCGGGAGAGGUAAGAGGUACUACAGGGGUAGGAGUGAAAUCUUGUAAUCCCUGUGGGACCACCUGUGGCGAAGGCGUCUUACCAGAACGGGUUCGACGGUGAGGGACGAAAGCUGGGGGCACGAACCGGAUUAGAUACCCGGGUAGUCCCAGCCGUAAACGAUGCUCGCUAGGUGUCAGGCAUGGCGCGACCGUGUCUGGUGCCGCAGGGAAGCCGUGAAGCGAGCCACCUGGGAAGUACGGCCGCAAGGCUGAAACUUAAAGGAAUUGGCGGGGGAGCACAACAACGGGUGGAGCCUGCGGUUUAAUUGGACUCAACGCCGGACAACUCACCGGGGGCGACAGCAAUAUGUAGGUCAGGCUGAAGACCUUGCCUGAAUCGCUGAGAGGAGGUGCAUGGCCGUCGCCAGUUCGUACUGUGAAGCAUCCUGUUAAGUCAGGCAACGAGCGAGACCCA